This 474-nucleotide ribosomal RNA is filed under the name uncultured bacterium. Its description in RNAcentral is "SSU rRNA". It matches the Rfam family "Bacterial small subunit ribosomal RNA", at positions 26 to 518 of the family's 1533-position model. The record is from RNAcentral.
AGGACGAACGCUGGCGGCGUGCUUAACACAUGCAAGUCGAGCGGAAAGGCCCUUCGGGGUACUCGAGCGGCGAACGGGUGAGUAACACGUGAGCAACCUGCCCUUAGCUUCGGGAUAGCUCCGGGAAACCGGAAUUAAUACCGAAUAUGACCAUGGCCGGAAUCGGCCAUGGUGGAAAGUUUUUCGGCUAGGGAUGGACUCGCGGCCUAUCAGCUAGUUGGUGAGGUAACGGCCCACCAAGGCGACGACGGGUAGCCGGCCUGAGAGGGCGACCGGCCACACUGGGACUGAGACACGGCCCAGACUCCUACGGGAGGCAGCAGUGGGGAAUAUUGCGCAAUGGGCGAAAGCCUGACGCAGCGACGCCGCGUGGGGGAUGGAAGGCCUUCGGGUUGUAACCCCUUUCAGCAGGGACGAAGCGAGAGUGACGGUACCUGCAGAAGAAGCGCCGGCUAACUACGCGCCAGCAGCCGC